AGUAAAACAAGACUUACUCGCACCUGAACUCAAGCAAGAUGACCCGCUGAACUUAAGCAUAU
This 62-nucleotide ribosomal RNA is filed under the name uncultured freshwater alveolate. Its description in RNAcentral is "partial 28S ribosomal RNA". The record is from RNAcentral.